RNAcentral lists this unclassified non-coding RNA (257 nucleotides) under Hevea brasiliensis (rubber tree). The record is from RNAcentral. Lineage: Eukaryota; Viridiplantae; Streptophyta; Magnoliopsida; Malpighiales; Euphorbiaceae.
GAACUCAGCUCAGGUCUAAUAGAUCUAUGCCUUUAGUAGAAUCUUUAACUCUGUUGUAAGCAACUUUGUUUAUUGGUUAAUAGGCAUGGAUUAUGCAGAUCCAAAGAAGAAAAACAACUUUGUGGUUCUCUCAUCAUGAACCAGGUGUCACUCAUGUGUUAGUCACUGGAGGUGCUGGAUAUAUUGGAUCGCAUGCAGCAUUACGUCUUCUAAAAGAUUCUUACCGAGUGACCAUAGUGGACAACCUUUCACGAGGA